AUUUAGGUUUUUUUAAAAACCAUAUUUCAUUUAAUUCAUGAGUUUUU
Camelus ferus (Wild Bactrian camel) is the source of this 47-nucleotide non-coding RNA. The record is from Rfam. Lineage: Eukaryota; Metazoa; Chordata; Mammalia; Artiodactyla; Camelidae.